RNAcentral lists this ribosomal RNA (467 nucleotides) under uncultured bacterium. RNAcentral's name for it is "partial 16S ribosomal RNA". It matches the Rfam family "Bacterial small subunit ribosomal RNA", at positions 28 to 507 of the family's 1533-position model. The record is from RNAcentral.
GACGAACGCUGGCGGCGUGCUUAACACAUGCAAGUCGAACGAUGACGACCGAGCUUGCUCGGUCUGAUUAGUGGCGAACGGGUGAGUAACACGUGAGCAACCUGCCCUUCACUCUGGGAUAACCUCGGGAAAUCGGGGCUAAUACCGGAUAUGAGCUCCUGUCGCAUGGCGGGUGUUGGAAAGUUUUUCGGUGAAGGAUGGGCUCGCGGCCUCUCAGUUUGUUGGGGGGGUAGUGGUGCACCAAGGCGAUGACGGGUAGCCGGCCUGAGAGGGCGACCGGCCACACUGGGCCUGAGACACGGCCCAGACUCCUACGGGAGGCAGCAGUGGGGAAUGUUGCACAGUGGGCGAAAGCCUGAUGCAGCGACGCCGCGUGGGGGAUGACGGCCUUCGGGUUGUAAACCACUUUCAGCAGGGAAGAAGCGAAAGUGACGGUACCUGCAGAAGAAGCGCCGGCUAACUACGUG